ACGGCUACCUUGUUACGACUUCACCCCAGUCAUGAAUCACUCCGUGGUAACCGUCCCCCUUGCGGUUAGACUAGCUACUUCUGGAGCAACCCACUCCCAUGGUGUGACGGGCGGUGUGUACAAGGCCCGGGAACGUAUUCACCGUGACAUUCUGAUUCACGAUUACUAGCGAUUCCGACUUCACGCAGUCGAGUUGCAGACUGCGAUCCGGACUACGAUCGGUUUUAUGGGAUUAGCUCCACCUCGCGGCUUGGCAACCCUUUGUACCGACCAUUGUAGCACGUGUGUA
RNAcentral lists this ribosomal RNA (289 nucleotides) under uncultured bacterium. RNAcentral describes it as "partial 16S ribosomal RNA". The record is from RNAcentral.